Molecule: ribosomal RNA, 467 nt
Filed under: uncultured bacterium
Lineage: Bacteria
Description: bacterial SSU rRNA
Rfam family: Bacterial small subunit ribosomal RNA
Source: RNAcentral
CAGAGCGAACGCUAGCGGCGGGCUUAACACAUGCAAGUCGAGCGGAGGGUUUCGGCCCUCAGCGGCGAACGGGUGAGUAACACGUGGGUAACGUACCCUUUGGUGGGGAAUAACCUAGGGAAACCUGGGCUAAUACCGCAUAUGUCCUUCGGGAUGAAAGUCUUCGGACGCCAGGGGAUCGGCCUGCGGCCCAUUAUUUAAUCCUAGUUGGUAGGGUAACGGCCUACCAAGGGUACGAUGGGUAGCUGGUCUGAGAGGAUGAUCAGCCACACUGGAACUGAGACACGGUCCAGACUCCUACGGGAGGCAGCAGUGGGGAAUAUUGGACAAUGGGCGCAAGCCUGAUCCAGCCACGCCGCGUGGGUGAUGAAGGCCUUCGGGUUGUAAAGCCCUGUCGGAGGGGACGAAGUCUUCGGAUUGACGGUACCUUCCAAGAAAGCACCGGCUAACUCCGUGCCAGCAGCCGC